This 330-nucleotide ribosomal RNA is filed under the name Triticum aestivum (bread wheat). Its description in RNAcentral is "partial small subunit ribosomal RNA". The record is from RNAcentral. Lineage: Eukaryota; Viridiplantae; Streptophyta; Magnoliopsida; Poales; Poaceae.
UAUGGCAUUGGGUUCAUUGACCCAAACACCGUUAAUGAAUACACAUGGAAAUUAGAUGCAUAUUAUGAAAAAGAGGUAGAGGAUAGCAUGCUAGAGUUCUUGAAGCGCCUCAAAUACAAUGAAGAUAUACUGCUUCCUUACAACUUCGAAUUUCACUGGAUCUUGUGUAUCAUUAAAGUUGACGCUGGAACAGUUGAAAUACUGGACUCGCUACUCACAGCAAAAGGUGACUACAACAUCUUGUAUGGGAUAGUCAACAGGGUUUGGGCAAGGUUCAUCAGCGUCACGGAAGGCGAAUGGAAACCAGAGCUGAAAUGGUUUCGAUCCAAG